Amblyraja radiata (thorny skate) is the source of this 304-nucleotide long non-coding RNA. RefSeq lists it as uncharacterized. Lineage: Eukaryota; Metazoa; Chordata; Chondrichthyes; Rajiformes; Rajidae. The record is from RefSeq and is a predicted model, not a curated record. The transcript is spliced from 3 exons.
CCAAAACGUCACCCAUUCCUUCUCUCCAGAGAUGCUGCCUGUCCCGCUGAGUAACUCCAGCUUUUGUGUCUAUCUUCAGUGAUUUAAAAACACGCUUCAAGAGCGCCUGUGGGCGGGUUGAGAGCGUCGCCGAGGCGGGGACUGGGUGACGUUUCAUCAACCUGGCACCGAGAGGCUGGCGGCCGACAUUACUCGUCAGUGGCGCUUUUGAUCAAUAAGUCAGUGGAAACGAAUUGAACUCAGCUGCCGAUAAAAUGUGUUGAACGUUGCGCGAAGAGGGUAACACGGGACUGAACCAUGUUCC